GAUGAACGCUGGCGGCGUGCUUAACACAUGCAAGUCGAACGGGAAACCUUUUAUUGAAGCUUCGGCAGAUUUCGCUGGUUUCUAGUGGCGGACGGGUGAGUAACGCGUGGGUAACCUGCCCUAUACAGGGGGAUAACAACCAGAAAUGGUUGCUAAUACCGCAUAAGCGCACAGGGCCGCAUGGUCCGGUGUGAAAAACUCCGGUGGUAUAGGAUGGACCCGCGUUGGAUUAGCCAGUUGGCAGGGUAACGGCCUACCAAAGCGACGAUCCAUAGCCGGCAUGAGAGGGUGAACGGCCACAUUGGGACUGAGACACGGCCCAGACUCCUACGGGAGGCAGCAGUGGGGAAUAUUGCACAAUGGGGGAAACCCUGAUGCAGCGACGCCGCGUGAAGGAAGAAGUAUCUCGGUAUGUAAACUUCUAUCAGCAGGGAAGAUAGUGACGGUACCUGACUAAGAAGCCCCGGCUAACUACGUG
RNAcentral lists this ribosomal RNA (478 nucleotides) under uncultured bacterium. RNAcentral's name for it is "partial 16S ribosomal RNA". It matches the Rfam family "Bacterial small subunit ribosomal RNA", at positions 28 to 507 of the family's 1533-position model. The record is from RNAcentral.